RNAcentral lists this long non-coding RNA (652 nucleotides) under Homo sapiens (human). RNAcentral's name for it is "HSALNT0171042". Lineage: Eukaryota; Metazoa; Chordata; Mammalia; Primates; Hominidae. The record is from RNAcentral.
UCGGGGUCUUACGGAGCCUGGAAAAGGAGUGUGCUCUGACGCCUGCAGCAACGCCACCAACCUUCACAGCCUCGUGCCGAGUGAAGCCAGCCAGUCACAAUAGGACCAAUGCUGUGACCCCACAGAUGGAAGGCCCCCAGAGGAGUCAGAUUCAAGAGGAAGAUGGCAGAAUGGCAGUCAGCAGGGCCAGUGACAGAGGCCGAUGGGAACCCCAGCGAGACCUGCAGAACAUUACAGCAGAAUGAAGGAGAGCCAGAGGAAGAGGCAGAUGUGCUGGCCUGUAAACAGUCUGAUUUCCAAUGUAAACCAGAUUCAGGCCCACGACAUCAGGUCAGCAUCUCCCACUGUGGGAAUCCUAUGUGGCCCCAUCGUCUGGACAGUGUGGGUCAGGUCACUGUGGCUGUUUUGUGAUGCGUGUGUGGGCUCAUCCCUCAGUGCUCAGAAGCUGCAGACACUAUGGAACCGCUUUUCAGGCCCCGUGGCCGUCACCCCCGCUCUAGAGACUUGAUUGCAGGGACCAUGCCCGGCCGGCCUAACUGCACCCCUCACUCCAGGUGGGUGGGGGGACCCAGGCCUGCUGGCCCCUGUGGUGGUGCAGCCCAGAAGGUGUGAAUCAGUUUACACUGUUCAGUGCCUGAAUAAAAGUCACAGG